This 799-nucleotide ribosomal RNA is filed under the name uncultured archaeon. Its description in RNAcentral is "bacterial SSU rRNA". It matches the Rfam family "Archaeal small subunit ribosomal RNA", at positions 102 to 903 of the family's 1478-position model. The record is from RNAcentral.
CGAUAAUCUGCCCUAAGGUUUUGGAUAGCCUCGGGAAACUGAGGGUAAACCAGAAUAUGAGAUUGAAACUGGAAUGUUCUAUCUUUGAAAAGCAAUGCCUUAGGAUGAGUCGGCGGCUGAUUAGGUUGUUGGUGAGGUAAUGGCUCACCAAGCCUCGGAUCAGUAGGGGGGAUGAGAGUCCUAGCCCCGAGAAGGGCACUGAGACACUGGCCCUAGCCCUAAGGGGUGCAGCAGGCGCGAAAACUUUACAAUGCACGAAAGUGUGAUAAGGGAAUUCCAAGUGCUUUGUCUUCGGAUAAAGCUUUUACCAAGUCUAAAUAGCUUGGAGAAUAAGUGAUGGGUAAGACGGGUGCCAGCCGCCGCGGUAACACCUGCGUCACAAGUGGCGAUCAUAUUUAUUGGGUCUAAAGCGUUCGUAGCCGGUUUGAUAAGUCUUUUGUGAAAUUGUUAGUCUUAAAUUAACAGCGUGCAAGGGAAACUAUCUGACUAGAGACCGGGAGGGGGCAACGGUAUUUCAGGGGGAGCGGUAAAAUGUUAGAAUCCCUGGAGGACCACCGAUGGCGAAGGCAGUUGCCUAGAACGGGUCUGACGGUCAGGAACGAAGGCCAGGGUAGCAAAACGGAUUAGAUACCCGAGUAGUCCUGUGCAGUAAACGCUGUGAGCUGUGUGUUGCACAUUCUUUGUGGAUGUGCAGUGCCUAAGCGAAGGUGUUAAGCUCACCACCUGGGGAGUACGGUCGCAAGAUUGAAACUUAAAGGAAUUGGCGGGGGCUCACUACAAGGGGUGAAGAGUGCGGUUC